AGCGGUCCUCGGUAGUGGCUCCCGGAGACACGAUUCUCCGGCGGCUUCGAUCGAUGGCCGUC
Non-coding RNA from Williamsia sp. D3, 62 nucleotides. The record is from Rfam. NCBI's taxonomy places the organism in Bacteria, Bacillati, Actinomycetota, Actinomycetes, Mycobacteriales, Nocardiaceae.